Molecule: transfer RNA, 67 nt
Filed under: Marmota monax (woodchuck)
Lineage: Eukaryota; Metazoa; Chordata; Mammalia; Rodentia; Sciuridae
Description: tRNA.Ala
Source: RNAcentral
GGUUGUGGCUCAGCGGUAGAGCGUUUGCCUAGCACGUGGGAGGCUCUGGGUUCGAUCCUCUGCACUA